CAACAGCCUGUGAGGUAGGUUCCUUUAUUAUCACCAUUUUGCAGAUGAGAAAACAGAAACAGAAGAUUAAGUAACUUGCCCAAAGUCGUGCACCUUAUAAAGUAAUACAUGAAAUUUUGAGUCCAGUUGUAUGUUUAAGAGUGAUUUUCAACCUUUAAUAUGCAGUCGAGUGGCCUGAAAAGGUAUCAUGAUCAGAAAAACAAAAUGAGAAUCCACCAUCCAAAAAACAAAAAAGAAAUUAUUUGGGUCAUUGAAUAUCAAGGGGAAGAAAUAAAAGGAAAUGAUUAG
RNAcentral lists this long non-coding RNA (288 nucleotides) under Mustela putorius furo (domestic ferret). RNAcentral describes it as "lncRNA (ENSMPUG00000031484.1)". Lineage: Eukaryota; Metazoa; Chordata; Mammalia; Carnivora; Mustelidae. The record is from RNAcentral.